CUGCCCUCUCAGAAGAGGUCUUGUCAUAUGUUUUGGAGCUGUUUUCACCUGGAGAAGGUGAUGGCUCAUGGCAUGGAGCUUGUUUAUCAUUGGCUGAGCUAGCACGUAGAGGGUUGCUAUUGCCUGCCAAUCUUCCCAAAGUUGUACCUUUUGUUGUGAAGGCAUUGCAUUAUGAUAUUCGAAGAGGCCCACAUAGUAUUGGGUCUCAUGUGCGUGAUGCUGCUGCUUAUGUUUGUUGGGCAUUUGGUCGGGCAUAUUAUCACACUGAUAUGAGAAAAGUAUUGGAACAGCUUGCUCCACAUCUAUUAACAGUGGCCUGCUAUGAUCGUGAGGUCAAUUGCAGAAGAGCAGCAGCAGCUGCUUUUCAGGAGAAUGUUGGAAGACAAGGCAAUUAUCCACAUGGCAUUGACAUAGUGAAUACUGC
Molecule: unclassified non-coding RNA, 424 nt
Filed under: Hevea brasiliensis (rubber tree)
Lineage: Eukaryota; Viridiplantae; Streptophyta; Magnoliopsida; Malpighiales; Euphorbiaceae
Source: RNAcentral